This 74-nucleotide transfer RNA is filed under the name Candidatus Parvarchaeota archaeon. RNAcentral describes it as "tRNA-Arg". It matches the Rfam family "tRNA". From Rfam's summary of the family: Transfer RNA (tRNA) molecules are approximately 80 nucleotides in length. Their secondary structure includes four short double-helical elements and three loops (D, anti-codon, and T loops). The record is from RNAcentral. RNAcentral also lists the same sequence under 2 other names. Lineage: Archaea; Nanobdellati; Candidatus Parvarchaeota.
GGGCCCAUAGUCUAGUCCGGAUAGGACUGAUGGCUUCGAACCAUCUGACAGGGGUUCAAAUCCCCUUGGGCCCU